GUUUGUAAAUACAGAGGAUGUUUUAUUGUGCUGCUAACGGUGACCUCUGACCUCUGCGUCGCGGCAGAUCUCCUCGUAGACGGUGUGCAGCGGCGUCUGCUCGUAGUCCAGGAUGUUGGUGGACACCUGAGCCACGUUGGCCUCGUCCAGGUACCAGCCCAUCCCCUGCACCUUCUUCAGCAGCCCGGGCUGACGGACGCCGACACAGAACACAGAACAGCGUGACCACCCAGAGCCUCCCACCCAAAACAAACACCGACAGACUCCACCUCCCAGCAUGCACCUGGUCUUUGCCACGCCCCUGCUCCCUGAUGUCCAGAGCGAUGCGGAACUGAAAGUAGCUGAAGUUCCACCUUCAGUCUGGGUUCAACCACCUUCACUCCACUGUCUCAUGGGAAACUAUCGUGACAUUUCUUUCCGUUUUGACCCUCGUUCGUCUCCGUGGUUACCGACCUUUUCCGGCAGAGCUUCGUACUCUCCGGCUCUGACGGCGGGCAGACUCCUCCUCCACUCCAUUCGAGCUGCUUCUCCGUACAGAUACACUGAAAACACACACCACAGUCACCUUUCUUCUUCUGCCUUAAACCUGUUCAUUCUGGUCUCCCGCCGCUUCGUACCGGGCACGUGCAGCAUGUCGGCCAAUCUCUGAGCGAAGAUGUCGGCGCAGCGGACGCAGUCGUCCAUGCUGACGUUCUGGACCGGGAUGAAGGGGCACACGUCCAUGGCUCCGGUCCGCGGGUGUUCACCUGGACAGGAAACGCACCGGGUCACCUGACUGUCAGCUGGAGGCGGGGCCCGGGGAGGCGUUCACUGACCUGAGUGUUUGCUCAUGUCGAUGAGGCCGAAGGCCUGCCGCGCUGCGUUCAGGGCCCCCUCCACCACCGCCUCCGGGGAGCCCACGAAGGUGUAGACGGUCCGGUUGGUGGAGGCCCCGGGGUCCACGUCCAGGAGGCUGCAGCCGGACGUGGACGAGAUGGAGGAGGCGAUGGCAUCGAUGACCUGCAACACACAAAGACUGACCGUUAGGGAUGAGUCCAAC
RNAcentral lists this long non-coding RNA (1039 nucleotides) under Sphaeramia orbicularis (orbiculate cardinalfish). RNAcentral describes it as "lncRNA (ENSSORG00005007087.1)". The record is from RNAcentral. Lineage: Eukaryota; Metazoa; Chordata; Actinopteri; Kurtiformes; Apogonidae.